UACGAAGGGGGCUAGCGUUGCUCGGAAUCACUGGGCGUAAAGCGCACGUAGGCGGCUUUCUAAGUCAGGGGUGAAAUCCUGGAGCUCAACUCCAGAACUGCCUUUGAUACUGGAAAGCUUGAGUUCGGGAGAGGUGAGUGGAACUGCGAGUGUAGAGGUGAAAUUCGUAGAUAUUGGGAAGAACACCGAUGGCGAAGGCAGCCAUCUGGACCGACACUGACGCUGAGGCGCGAAAGCGUGGGGAGCGAACAGG
This 253-nucleotide ribosomal RNA is filed under the name uncultured bacterium. RNAcentral's name for it is "partial 16S ribosomal RNA". It matches the Rfam family "Bacterial small subunit ribosomal RNA", at positions 524 to 776 of the family's 1533-position model. The record is from RNAcentral.